GAUGAACGCUAGCGGCAGGCUUAACACAUGCAAGUCGGGGGGCAGCAGGAGUAGCAAUACUUGCUGGCGACCGGCAAACGGGUGCGUAACACGUACGCAACCUACCCUUAAUUGGGGGAUAGCCCAAAAAAAUUUGAAUUAAUACCCCGUAAUAUAUCGAAAAGGCAUCUUUUUGAUAUUAUAGCUCCGGCAAUUAGGGAUGGGCGUGCGGCUGAUUAGGUAGUUGGUAGGGUAACGGCCUACCAAGCCAACGAUCAGUACCCAAUGUGAGAGCAUGAUCGGCCACACGGGCACUGAAACACGGGCCCAACUCCUACGGGAGGCAGCAGUAAGGAAUAUUGGUCAAUGGACAAAAGUCUGAACCACCCAUGCCGCGUGAAGGAUGAAGGCCCUCUGGGUUGUAAACUUCUUUUAUCUGGAACAAAAAAAGGUCAUUCCUGACCACUUGACGGUACCAAAGGAAUAAGCACCGGCUAACUCCGUG
This 484-nucleotide ribosomal RNA is filed under the name uncultured bacterium. Its description in RNAcentral is "partial 16S ribosomal RNA". It matches the Rfam family "Bacterial small subunit ribosomal RNA", at positions 28 to 507 of the family's 1533-position model. The record is from RNAcentral.